UAUUGAGCUGGCCCUAACAUUAGGCAGAGUAAGGUGGCAGGUGUUGGAGGGUAGCAGCUGUUUUCCCCGUCCAUUUCUGCUAAGCUGCCAUCCCAUUCCUUCUGAGCCAGCACCCCAGUUGCACUGAAGCUUCCUUCUUGCCGACCUGUCUUGAUGCCUGACCUGUGCUCCCUAACCUAGUUUCCGUCUCUCAUCUCCACUGCUGAAGUAAAGUCCAGCUGUCAGUUUGGUCCACUACGCCCCAGGUGAAGGAAGAAGGAAGUGGCGAUUGCAAUCUUGGUAUGCCCCCACCCAGGAUGUCACUGGGCAAGUGUAGAUGCACCCCCUAUUGCCACCUACAUCUGUUUUCAAAUGGAUACACUGUGGGGCGAUGCCAAAACAGCCAACCUAAUUUAAUGUGGCUCUGGGAAAGGGAACAGCAGAACCCACUCCAUUGGCUCAGCAGAAAGACCAGUUGUCAUUUGAUUCCUCCUCACUCUGAAUUCUUUCCACUGAUUCAAACCAGUCAUUAUAAGAACAUGGUCCCUUGGCAAACUGGUACAGUACCUUGAAUUUGUGUGUAUUCCUCUUCCGUCCCAAUCUGCUUUUCCUUUUGCAUCAUGUUUCUUACAUUGUAAGCUUACGGGCAAGGGACUAUCUUGCUCUCUACUGUUUUUUUUAAUCUCUCUGGGAACUCCCUCUUUUAUGCUGCAGAGAUGGGUAAAAAUGCAUUAAAUAUAUAAUGCAUUUUAAAUAAACAUCCACACAACUCCCUCUGAGUGUUGCUGUGCAGUAUGUUAGACUAGAGAAUAGCUCUUACUUUUCUGACUGUAGGUAAUUAGUGCUUUCUGGCUUUUGCAACAGCCACGUGAAAAAAGAAAAGG
Molecule: non-coding RNA, 863 nt
Organism: Zootoca vivipara (common lizard)
Lineage: Eukaryota; Metazoa; Chordata; Lepidosauria; Squamata; Lacertidae
Source: RefSeq, a predicted model, not a curated record